AACACUGUUAACCUGCGGUACCUGCGGAGGGAUCAUUUAAGGUCAUUUGAUAAACUUGUGGGGGCGGAUUGUCUCCACGAGCGGUAACAAAAAAACAAACACGAGGGCACAUGCGGUCAUGUCAUGUCAUGUCAUGUCAUGCAUGCAGACACGCAGGCACGCAGAGACACGCAGUGUGUUUAUGAACAUGUCCAGAUAUCAUAAAAUGUCAAGGAUACUGAAAACUUUUAACAAUGGAUC
Molecule: unclassified non-coding RNA, 240 nt
Filed under: soil metagenome
Description: partial contains 5.8S ribosomal RNA, internal transcribed spacer 2, and large subunit ribosomal RNA
Source: RNAcentral